This is a long non-coding RNA of Myodes glareolus (Bank vole), 1888 nucleotides long. RefSeq lists it as uncharacterized. NCBI's taxonomy places the organism in Eukaryota, Metazoa, Chordata, Mammalia, Rodentia, Cricetidae. The record is from RefSeq and is a predicted model, not a curated record.
AACAAAAAAGAGAAGGAGAAGAAGAAGAGGAGGAAGAGGAGGAAGAAGAAGAAAUAUUCAAAAACUUCUCCGAAGCCACAUUACUGGGAUUCAAGCAAUAAGCCCCAGAGACAGGAGGUGACUCCAGGUUGAUAUAGCAACUGAUUGCAGCAUCUCAGUACUGAGGGCAGUUCUGGUAUGCCGGUGAAGAGGACUCUGUUGUCAUGGUAACCGUUUGAUGAACUGCGGCUAGUGUUGACAAUUUGACAGGAUCCAGAUUCACCUGGGAGAUGGGUGUGCCCGGGGGGGGGGGGGAGGUUUACCUUGAUUACAUUAAUGGGCGGCGUGAAUGGAGACUGCGAGGAGAAAUGCAGCAACAUGCAUUGCUCUUUCCGAGCUGAUGAUGCAACACCUACCAGCUGCUUCAGGGACCCGAUGCCUUGACUUCCCUGCCGUGAUGGAUGGCACCCUGAACUGUGAGCUACCAUAAGCCCUCUCUCCCUCUCCCUCAGUUUGUUAUUGUCAAAGUGUUUCUUUCUUUUUCGUUUUCUCUUUAAUCACAGCAACAGGAAGAGAAACUAAGAUGCGCGGCAUGGUGCUGGGUGUUGCCGUGUUGGGGUAGUCCCAGGACGCUGGGAGGAGGUGGUGAUGGUCUGCUGGUUCCGAUCGGUCAGCUGGGAUAUGUAUUUUCUGUUCAAGUGGUAUUGAAACAGGAUACCACAGGAAGUCCCUGUGAAGGUUUCUGAGACGGAUGUCUUGUUAUAUAACCCAGGCUGGCCCUGAACCCAGCCUCUCAAUUGCUGAAACUACUGGCCUGUGCCACUCCAUGUGUAGCAUUAGCCAGCCUGAAGCUGGCCAGGUAGACCAGGAUGGCCUUAGACCAUCUUCCCUCUUCCUUCUGAGUUUUGGGAAUAUGGUCUUGGCUCACCACUCUUAGUAGCACAUCCUUCUUUUCCUCGCCCCCAUCCCUGUUCCUCCUUGCAUGCUUAUGUGUGUGCAUGUAUGUGGAGGAUACAAGUUAGUGCUAAGUAUCUUCCUCAAUUGCUCUCUGUUUACCAGUGAAGAAUGAUUUGGCAAACAUCUUCAAAGUCAUAUUAUUGGAAUCCAGAAGUAAGAAACACACGCACACAGGGGGCGGGAGAUGGAUGGACAUGGUGACUCUAGUCUGAUUGGUAAUUGAUGGCAGCAGCUUCGUCUUGGGUUGGUCUUGGUCUGUCUGUCUUUCUCUCUCUCUCUUCCUCUCUCUGGCAGGAUCUUUUAAUGAACAAGAAGCUCUCCAAUUCAGCUAGUAAGCUUGCCCCCAUCUCUAUCUCAGCAGCUUGAAUGCUAGGAUUGCAGCAAAUAAAGUGAUAGAAUGUUCCAUCCAUAAUUCUAAACCAUCGGUGAAUGGCGAGGAAGCAGAAUGGGUGAUUGUGGAGUGCUGUCAGAGUACAGCAUGGCCUUUCCCAUCUCAGUCAAUGUGUUGGUGAUGACCUGUGUGAGACACCCAACGAGAGCAGACUGGCUGGCAUUUCUUCAUGGAAGGAAACGAUAGACCCUCACCUGAGACUCCAACAGUCCCUCCUGUACUCCCUGACCAGAGGUUUUGAAAGGUCACGUCUUUCAUGCUGGACCAGGACUUUGCAGCAAUUCAGCUCACCCACACUCCUUCGAAAUGCUAAGCAGCCAUUGCAGAAGAGACUCAGAAAGACAAUGUUGCAACACAAAUUGCUACACCUAGGAUGCUAUGUGAAAGAGCAGAACUGAAGAUUCCAGCCUGUCCCGUGAUUGUUCCACACAUGCCUGGUCCCCAGGAGAUAAGAGAUGAGUGUUUGCCUGAAGGAGGUCUGAAGAUCACAAGCCAGAAUCCAUUAGUGACUCCACAGUAUCAAAAGUGUUCUUCUGUGUAGCCCUGGCUGACCUGGAACUU